AAUUGACCAUCGCCCUGGGAACUGAACGGCUGAAUCCGCUCCACGAAUUCAAGUGCACGCCAAGGACGCUGAUGUGUGGCGAUUUAUGGUGGGCGGAUUUAAAUUGAUAAAAGGCUGAGCAUCUCGAGAGCGAUCUAGACUUCGUCCCUUGAUACCAGGUUGCUGAGGGUGGAGUGAGACUCCGUAAGAGUGGAUAGGAGUGACUUUCACCUCAUCAGCUGGAACCAGCGUGCGACUCGAGGGCGCGGCGGGGUUUUGGAUGAAGCAACGGACGCUAACUGCUCGAGUUUUGCCUGAUAAGUAAAUUUUUAUGUUAUCAUGUGCGAAUGAAUGGUUAAAUAUACGUCUUUCCCAGGGCGAUUUUUUUGUUAUACACAAAUAGACCGAUAGAAUUAUAUAUAAGGAUAAUACCCCUUGUAUUAUAAUUGACAAUCUGUGAUCAACUCAUUUCCAGAUUUAUUUACUGUGACUCGAUAUCUUAUAUAUAAAAUUGAUUGUGUUUUUAUCUAA
Molecule: long non-coding RNA, 510 nt
Organism: Leptopilina heterotoma
Lineage: Eukaryota; Metazoa; Arthropoda; Insecta; Hymenoptera; Figitidae
Exons: 2
Source: RefSeq, a predicted model, not a curated record